AUCCAGUUGGUGAGUCCCAAAUGGGACGAAAUGCACAUCCUAGCUGGAU
This is a non-coding RNA of Trichobilharzia regenti, 49 nucleotides long. The record is from Rfam. NCBI's taxonomy places the organism in Eukaryota, Metazoa, Platyhelminthes, Trematoda, Strigeidida, Schistosomatidae.